GGGGCUGUCACGGUUUCGACUGUGAGAAAAAGGGAAGGUAUAAGCAUACCGGAGCGCCUCGCUUCGUCAACAAAGGGGAAAUUAAAUUUAAAUGCUGAAAAUAACAAUUUCGCAUUCGCUGCUUAAUUAACGCAGCUGUCCGACCUUUCUUUUCCCGUCGGGAAUGGCUCGGGCAUCAUUAAGGCGGGGGACGACCUUUACCUAUCGAAAACGGGGUUUGGGCUGAUUCUUUGUUUUCAAUGGCGGCUCUGAUUUGCGCCUUACCAUAGCGGCCGCAGGAGAUCAAGUUAAGGCUAAGUAUGUAGAAGACUUUUCGGUUUUCCCGCAACACGAGGGUUCAACUCCCUCCAGCUCCACCA
RNAcentral lists this transfer-messenger RNA (359 nucleotides) under bovine gut metagenome. It matches the Rfam family "transfer-messenger RNA". From Rfam's summary of the family: Bacterial tmRNA, also known as 10Sa RNA or SsrA, is named for its dual tRNA and mRNA-like properties. Its role is to liberate the mRNA from a stalled ribosome. The record is from RNAcentral.